AGAGAGGCGCUAUGCCUCCCAGUCGGCGACACGAUACAGCGCUGCAGAACUGACCCCGACGCAGCCGCCAUAGCUGAUACCACUGCCAGUCAUGCGGCUCCGCCCCAGCGUUGCAGCGCGGGGCCGCGCACGCAAAUACGCAGGCACGGGCGGGGGCACGCCCGGGAGUGCGCAUGCGCACUGCGGCUGGCCCGCUCUCCGAGGAGCUUUCGAUACUUUGGGGUCAAGUUUGAGGCAGUUGUAAGUGUACUGAGUUUAGUUUUGCUAAUAAUGGUAUUCUACGUGUGUCAGCCUCGUAUGGACUUCUGUAAUGACUAAUGGAUAUGUUUAUGCCCUGAGCAUUUGCUCUAGGACUUUUAAAUGAAAUCCCCAAACUCAGGAUUACCUUAUUUGGAGAAAUUAUUAGUGUUAUUAUGUUUAAAAUGUAAUAGAUAGAGCGAUAUUUUACCUUUCACUUUGGGACUCGCACAGGAUGUUUGCAGCUUUUGAUACACACGAACGAGAACGUGUCUUUUAAGAGCAUGCGGUUUUAUAAUUAUGUGGAAGUAUGCUACGCAAGGGAAAAAAGGCUCUUGCUAAUGUUAAGAGUCUUUAUAAACACAAACUGCAAGGAACCUGGGAUCUGACAGCUGUGGGAGGAAUGCCUGUGAGGAAAAAGGAGGAACAGAAG
Long non-coding RNA from Mandrillus leucophaeus (drill), 670 nucleotides. RefSeq lists it as uncharacterized. The record is from RefSeq and is a predicted model, not a curated record. The transcript has 3 exons. NCBI's taxonomy places the organism in Eukaryota, Metazoa, Chordata, Mammalia, Primates, Cercopithecidae.